Molecule: long non-coding RNA, 12034 nt
Filed under: Solanum tuberosum (potato)
Lineage: Eukaryota; Viridiplantae; Streptophyta; Magnoliopsida; Solanales; Solanaceae
Description: long non-coding RNA (STUB_LNC000386)
Source: RNAcentral
GGGGAAUACCCACAUACUAUAACUGAGAGAGUUUAAUACAAAAGAUAUUAACUCAUACUAGGCUGAAACUAACUAUGUCUGAAAUUAAGCCUCUAAACUGACCAGAAAUGUUGGGACAUGCCCCAACUAGAUCUAGUAAAACUGAAACUAAAGACUGAAAGCAGUAAGGAUAUCAUGUCUCUGGUCCUUGGAGGAUGAGGACUCACCACUACUAAUCUGCUGAGCUGAAGAUCGGAAAACGAUCUAAGUGCAAUCUGGAUGCUGAGAGCUUGAACCUACAUCACAAGAAGAUGUAACGCAAUAUAUGUGUCAGUACUAAAAGGUACCGAGCAUGAGGAUGGGGUAUCACUGAAAUACAUAUAUAACUGAACAAGCAAAAAGACAAUGGCAUAUAUCUGGAUAUGAUAGAAUGCUGAAAGAUACUAAACAUGACUGAUCUGUAUGCAAUGACCAACUAUGACAUGCUGAAACUGAAUAUUGAACAUGGUCAAUGUAAAUGGAGUCUGACUGAUUUGUGGGAGCUAUUAAUCACCGAUAAUAAAACCACAUGAGCUGAAUGUGGAGUCCGAUGUAUACACCCCAUCAAGAGGACCCAAUAUACCCUGCCAGGGGUAUAAAGUCAUGUUGGCGUGAUCACUAAUCUGUUGCCCAUGGAAGGGACUUAAUUACAACCUACUUGGCUAGUAGUUCUGGGACUAUUUGGGUACGCUAAACCCUAGUCCAACUCGGUAUUAUGCUAGUCCCAAUGAAUUUAGUAGUAAACUGAUUAUGACUGAUUUUCUGUAAUUGUUCUGGAUAGCUCAAAACUAGACAUGCAAAACUGAACGCAACAAUUUAAACUGACAUUGAUGCAUAAUACUGAGGCAUGUAUAACCGAUUUCUGAUAAAGUCUGACCUAACACAUGUAAUUCAAGAACUAAAGAAAUACAUAGCUAGGGUUCAGAAAUUCAUACGAUAAUCUGAAAAAGACGUGGCAUGUUGAUUUGGAACAUUAAAACAUAGCUAAAACGUGACAUGCUGUUUGGACGUUAGAACAUAUAGUUAAAAACGUGAUUUCUAAAUCAGAACGUUUUUAAAACAGUCUCUUCAUGAAAAUUGGCUGCUAAAUCGGAACGUUUUUAAAACAAUCUCUUCAUGAAAAUCGGCUGUAACUUUAGAAAAUACUAGGGUUCAUUCAUAAUCAUUGAAAAAUGAUCAAUAUUUGGAUCAUUCUAACAUUUAAAACCCAAAAUCAAGAAACGUUCAAGAACCCUAAUUUCGUUCAUAGCAUGAAAUCAAGAAUCGUUUGAAUUCUAGGGAUCUAACGGGCAAAAGGGACCCAUUAGCGAAAUCCAACAUACCUAGUGACGAAAUCUCCACGAAAAACUAUCAACUAGGGCAGGACUUGACUUUUCCGGCGAUUUUCUAGCAUUUUCCAGUGGCGGCUAGGGUUUAGCUAGGGUUUUGGCCGCCCCUCUCUCUUCUCUCUUCUUUUCUUUUGUUUUAGUUAAUUAAAUGACUUAGGUAAGUUCUAGUUAGGUUUCUAGGAUUUUAAAUUACUAACUAAAGUUGAUUUAAAAGCUGUCCAAAUCCUGAUGCAGAUUAGGCACCUGCCAAAUCUGAAAAUUCUGCAAAUUUUCCUUCACGAAUCUGGGGUGUUACACGAAUAAUUCAAAUCAAAUGUAAAGUUGAUUUCAAUGAUACAAGUUGACUGACUUUUCUCAAUCAAUUCCCUUACCCCCUCAGUUUACGCAAUUGACCUGUCUUCUUGUUGUUUUGUCUUUUAUAAAGUUGGCCAAUGUAAUAUUCCUCAAUGAGAGGACAUUUCAAUAAUGUGUAAUACAUCACAUAAAAGUGUGUGGAAAUAACAGCCAAAUAUAUAUAUACUAGUAAAAUUUAUAAAAUAAUAUUUAAAACCUAUCAAUUAUUAAAACUAAAACACUAUAUUAUCUUACAUACAAGAUUACAUAGUAACGAACAUUAAUAAUGUAAAGGAAAAUGAUAACAUCUUAUCAUUUAUCCUUCAAUCAAUCAUCUUUAAUUUGAUUUUAUAAUUUAUUAUUUUGCUUCCAGGAAGUGUUUCUAUUUGAUAUUUUUGGGGGAUCAAAUGAACAUCAACCUAAGAUAUUAAAUUUGCUAAUAAAUAAAUAAUCGUUGGUGAAGGGAUAAAUAAAUUUUAAAAGAUUGAAAAAGUGAACAAAUAUUCUAAUUCUAACGUGUAGAAAGUUCAACCCUACCUUUUUCUUUACAUAUAUUAUUUUAAAGUUCCCCAUUUAAAUGUAUCAUAAGUAAUUAUUAAAAAGGAAAAUUAAAGAGAGAAUGUAUCAUAUUGGACAACAAUUUAACUUAUUAUAUAUACUUGAAAGAGAAUAAUAUUACACAAAACUAUUCAGUUUGUUUGGGUAUUUUUAAAAAAAUCAACAUACCAGAGUGAUGGAGUUCAAUUUGAAACUAUACUUUUAUUCCAAUCGCAAUAUCGAGAAACACAUUUAUUACUCCAAGAAAUGUUUUUACAAUUUGUAGUAAACUUGAUAAUAUGUCCAUACUUCAUAUGAAUAUGAGCAAUUAACUUAUUGUGUAGUUAUCUAUGUCUUUGGGAUUGAAAGAGGCUUCAGUCUAGUCAUAUUCCUCUAUAAGUCAUCCGACACAUCCUUGAACCCAUGUUAAAAGUUUAUUAAUUAUUGUCUUCUUUUCAUGGUACAUUUCGCACAUCAAGGUGCGAUAAAGUUUUUAAGGUCUUUAUGUCCUUACAAUGACAUCUUAAUUUUGAAUUUUGUCUUCAAGAGAUGGUAGUGUCUAUUUUAAGGAAUUUUUUUAUUGUACCUUCAACAAUUUUAGUAGAGAAAAUUUGUGUGAAUACUCAUUUAACGUGCAUUAUUUAAUCUAUACUAAAACAACAAAGUUUAAAACAUGUACUCAAAAACAACAAUUAAUAUCAUAAGCAUAAUUUUAUGACUGUAAAAAAAUACUAGGAUCUGUAACAAUAUAGAAUGAAAUAGAAAGGAAAUAAUCGAUCCCACUGAAUGCACAGUGUCGCCUUAAGGAAAUUAUUCUCUUCUAGUACACGAGGUUUAAAUGAAUAGAUCCCCUCAGGAUGGAACAAUUCUAUUCACCAGUGUAUUGAUACAAAUACAAUGGUGUCAGUGAGUCACUCAACUAGAGCAAAGUACACAAAUAUCAGAAGGAGAAGAAGAAAAAUAGAAUUUUCGUUGUUUUAAAAUGAGAGAAAGUCCCUCUAUUUAUAGAUAAAAAAAGGGUGGUGUGAACAAAUGCUUAUUGUGCCUUAUCGUAAAAGGUCACAACUCUUUCAAAAAGUUACAACCCUUCAAAAAAGUCACAAACUUUAAUAAAAGUCACAACUUUUCAUGAAAGUCGCAACUCUUCAUAAAAGUCACAACUCUUCAUAAAAUUCAUAACUUUUCAUAAAAGUCACAACUUUUCAUGAAAGAGGAAGGCUAGUUUUGAAAAUAAAUUAAUUUAAAGAGAACCAUGAUUUGUGGUGGUGCCACGUAGGCGGGUCCAGGGUACUUUAUAUAUAUAUAAGAUUUGACUUUAAAUAUUUCAUUUUAAUUAAAAUGAUAAAUAUUUUAUAGUCAUAUAUAUAUGUAUGACAUGUUUGAGAUUAAAAAGUUCAAAAGUUUGAUUCAUUGUUGAUGUUAUGUCAUGAUUGUGUUGUUGUGAAUUGUACAUUGAUAUGAAAAUUAUCAUCUCCACAUUAAUUAUGUGAACAUGCCAUUUGCAUUGUUUUGAGACAUGGUUGUGAAACGUGUUAUGUGAUUUAGGAAGAAUAAGGAAUUAAAGAGGAUGUACCAUUUUGAGGGACGUGUCACGCGCCACGACGGAUAUUUCUAUUCGAGGGACGUAUCAUACGCCACGAUGGAUUCUAUAUAUUAUCGAGGGUCGUGUCACACACCGUAAUAAAUGCAUGUACAUAUAUGUCCCUAGUGGGUUCGGUACUGAGAGACAACGCGUGUGUAUCUCUAGGUCAUACAUGCAUUACUAUACUUGACAUUUUAUUAUAUUGCAUUGCAUAUCUUUAUCAUUUGUAAACUUGUGAGUGCCUUUCUGUGGAACUUGUGAUUGAUGAACUUGGUCUCGUGUGUUGUUGAUUUGUAAUUGUUGGAGUGUUGUUAUUGUGCUAUGUGCUACGUAAAUUGUGAAUUGUUAGGUUGGACUGGUUGUAUGUAGGUUGUAGUUGUGGAGGUUUGAUUGGAGUGGUAUAAGUAUUCAUAUUCUAUAUUACUCGAUUUUGUGUUUAGGAGUUUUCUUGAUGAGUACCGUAUUGUUUGGUACUCACCCUUUACUUCUAUAUUUGUGUAGGUUACAAGCUCGGAUCUUCAUAAUACUCUGUAUUCUUUUUGUCUGGGGGCUUCCUGUGGAGAUUUGUGAGGUAAAUGUUUUUCAUCUCAACAAACCCUCUUGAUCCUUAUUUAUGAUCUUGUUCUAUUCUAGAAACAAUUUCAUUUGAGACUUGUAUUUUUCUUUCGAAUCAAUUGUAAUACUUUAGAGGCUUAUACAUGUGACAAUCAAGUUUUGAGGUUUUAUUUGAGUUGAUUAUGAUUUCUGCAUUAUUAGAUCAUUUUAGUUCCUUUUUAUUGUUUCACUUCCACAUUUAUUGUAUUGGUUGUGUUUUAGGCUAACUUGUGUUGAUGGGAUAAGACGAGUGUCAUCAUGUCAAUUUUUAAAUCAUGAUAGGUUGGUGGAAUUUAAGUUUAUCUUAUUGUUUAAUCAUUCAACACUUAUAUUGGAUAUUGCAAUAGAUAUAUAUAGAGAGGUAUAAACCAAAAGCUUUUUUCUUCUGUUUUGUGGAAAUCAAACUUUCUCAUUUUGCUCAUAACCUAAUUACUUCCUCUAUUUCAUAUUAAUUGAUUUUUUUGAGGGAUUUUUUUUAUUGUUCAACAUAAUUGAAUUGUUCAAAAUUCAAGAUGGAUAUUUAAUUUUUUUCCAUAUUUGUCCUUUCAUUUAGUGAACUUUGAUAUUUUAUAGGAGAUAAAUUGAACUACUUGCAAAGUUGUUUAUGAUUUCACAAAGAGCAAUAGUAGAAAUAAAUGUUUAAAUUAUGUCCUUGAAUGUUUUCUUUAAAUAAAUGUGCAGUGUCUCACAAAUUCAAUUAAUUUGGAAUAGAGGGAGUACCCUUUUUCCAUGUAAGUGAUCCACUACCCUUUUUCUCCUCCUUUCUCUUCUCUCAAAGCCCUAGUGUAAUUUUGUAAUGCGUAAACUGAACCAAAUUAGACCCCAAUUAAAUUACUGAAAGUGAAUUAAACUAAUUGAGUAGGGAAAAGACCAAAAUACCCCUCUUAAAUUCGAGUGACUUUCCUUAUUUAGACAACCCGACUUCAAACGGGCAUAUCUCCCUCAUACGAGUUCAAAAAUUAACAAACUCGGUGGCGUUGGAAUGAUAAUUCAAAGACCUUUCAUUUGUUAUCUUAUGGCACACCUAACUCAUCCUGUACCGAAAGUUAUGGUUGUUUAAGUUGACCCAAAACUUAGAAAAACCUAGGAAUGACUUGAAUGAAUUCUUUUUAAUUCUUUUUGGUACUCAAGGUGCUAUAUCUAGUGACCUGACCUUAAUACUUAAGAAAUUUCAAAUUCCUUGGUAAAAUCCUACUCACCACGAAGGAUGGUUCAAGUCUUAGUUCAUAAAAAUUUUGGGGUGUUACAUUAUCUCCCCCUUGGAAUUAUUCGUCCUCAAAUGACGGCUGGACUGAGUAUGGAACGGGGUUACUCUUAUCAUCUCUGCCAUACCAACUAGAAUUUGCCUGCAUUAUUAUUCGAAACCAACUAAGGGCUCUCAUUUAGCUAUUUCUCAUAGUAAAACCUCAUUCUCUUCUUCCUCCUCAUUUAUAACCUUAGACAGAAUUAUCACACCGUCAUUAUCACGAUAUGAUCAUUAACCUUCUCUUCCUAACAUCACUCCACUACUAAAAGGACCUCUAAAAAGAUAUCUCCCAUACUCUUUUCAACUCAUUACUAUCUUAUUCUUAACACUUGACUUGAUUUUCAAUCUUAUCAUCUCCCCCUUAGGUCUAAAGCUGACACUUGAAGGCUAUAGACCUAUUCCAACAUCUCUAAUUGGUCUACAUCCUCUUUUACUCUAACUCUUCGGAGAAGCUUAUAUCACGACUACCAAACUCUCCAUAAGUAGGUACUAAGACUUCUUUCUAAGGUGUUUUUGUUAACCUCUUCUGAUUACAUACCCUUUCAGUACACCUCGUAAUGCUUUUUUACUCUUGUGACUUAAGCCACAUUUCACUGCCCUUAUCAAGAGGAUUAGGUCAUUUCACUUGUACCACUCAUAUUCAUUGCAACUAAUCACCUCAAUUCCUCACCUACUCUAUGUCAGGUCUUCUAGUUCAAUUCUCAAGACAACAUCAUCACCCUCACGUUGCCAUCCUUUUGAUCAAGACACUCAUCUCAAAUUUACUAAACCCGAAUAUCAAUAUGAUUGCUCUCUUACUAUACUAACUUACAACUACUGGAUGCAAAACACUCGUCCACUAGGACCUUAUGACAAGUAGUCAAUCCUUACCUCUUAGUCUCCAUACUCACAAUUUACCAUCAUAUUCGACUUCUCAACUUAAGUACUACUUACUCACUUACUGCGCAUUAUCUCUAAAAUAGUUCUAUCAUCCUCUGAAUACCAUGCGGUUUCCCCCUUCAAAAUUCGUAAGCCUAGCUUGGGCCUACCACCCCAUGAAUAAUUUUCUCGAUUAUUCAACAUAUGAAUUUAGUCUUCUCUAACACGAUGGCAAAUUGACAUCAACUCUAUUCUGGUAAAAAAAAUUAUACUCUAUCUCAUCAUGACUAGUAACUAUUCCUCUUCCUUCUAUCUAGAACUCUUUAUAACAUUAUUAUUCCUUAUGUUUACUCAUAAGGGAAAUUCAUCACUUAUAAUUGACUGAUUGCAUGAUUGCAAUCAUAUAAUCUACCGCAUCACUAUCUCAUUUUCUUAGAUUAUUGACCCUCUAUAUAAUUUCCUCUAAUACUGGGCACUUUCACUACUACUGCUCAUAAUCUCGUAAUUCAUACUAUUUUUUAGGGCAAAAAUACUACCCAAGCUCUAAACAUACCAGCAUCUUAAAGGUCUCAACUGAACAAGGUUUACGGAAGAGUGUACAACUCGCUUUUAGCUCAAACACACCAUUCAUAUGAACAUGAGUGCAUUCCUCUGAAACUCAACACUUAACUCACUUAUGGGCUUCUCUCAAUCCCCUCUAGAGUUUCACGACUUCCUCAAGACUCUUGCAAGAGCAACUCAUUGAUAAAGGAUUGUCUUUUCUUUUCAACCACCUCUAGUAUGACAGGUAGUCGAAUGACUCUGAGAAACGCACGAGUAUGAAUAAAUGUCUAUGACAACUCUAUUUCACGAUUAAGAGUAUGAAGAAAGUGAGAUAGUUCCUAAAUGUUGCAGCCUCCUAAUUAUAGAUGUUGCGCGCAUCACACCGAUAACCAGGACUCUACAUACACGGCUUCAUAGACACCCUAGGACUCUUGAACUCUGUGGUCUGAUACCAAGUUUGUCACGCAUUGGGCCUACACCCUAGGAGGGACUGGCACUCGAGAACCAUUGCUGGCCCCAAGCAAACCCUUGGGCUCAGUGGAAGACUUUAAGCAUUAAUAAAAGAAAACAAAUUCAACUUUACUCAACUGUCUCAAAUAACUUAGAAUGUUUUAGAAUUAAACAUCCAACUAGCCAAAGUGGCAACUCAAGUCUUAUAACAAAACAAGUGAAAUGCAAAGGCUAAAGAACUAUAACUAUUGUCUAUGUAGCCUCUAAUACUAUAAGGGAUGUUGGGACAAGACCCCCGAUCAUUCUAACAACUGAAAUACUAAAACAAUAUAAAUCAGGAAAGCAAGGAGGCUCACCAACUGACUUUGAAUGCUCAACUAGAUCAACGAAGUGUUGGCUGCUGAUUCUGGUUACCUGUAUCUGCAUUAUAAAAUGAUGUAGGCCAAUUGGCGUCAGUACAUUGAAUGUACGAGCAUGCGAGGGGAAAUCUAAACAUGACAUAUGCUUGAACUGAAUUUUGAAAAAAACACUCACCUUAGCUUUACUCAACUCAUGGAUACCCAACCCAAUGCAUAAUUAAACAACAAUAAAGAUGCAGAUGAUAAAAAGCAUUUAAACAAUAGAUAACAUCACAAAGUAUUGGAAAAUACCAUAAUAUCUCAAUUGUAUAUAAGCAUACAAAAUAAACUUUGUUUGGGAGAUUCUCUAACCGACAACCAUCAGUAUGAGCUAUAUGAUGAUACAACGUCUCACCCACGGGCCAGAACUCCCCUAUAACUUUCCGGGAUAAAGAACGCCUCAACUAAGUGGAUCCACUAGUCUAUGCUAAAACACAUUAAGGAAUUAUCAAAAAAGUAUGACCCUUUCUGCCCACGUUGGCUACAUGGUUUAUGGAGACUUGAGUUAUUAUGAACUCAUCCCUAUAUCGGUGCUCAAUACUACUCCCAAAAUAUACUCAGCUCAUAUGUUUAAAAACAUAACUCUUUCUUUAUGGUUUAAGGUUAUUACUCGAAAAGCUUAACUCUUAAAUAGAGGGAACUCAAAGCUACUCAUUAAAACUCAUUUGAAAAUCGAUGUUUCCUCUCAUCUUAAAUGUGAAAACAUUUGCUCUUUGAGAGUACUUAGUUCCCAUACAUCAUUUAAAGAAAUGAACUUGGCUCUACUCUUUCUCAAACGCAAUGCUUAAGUCUUUAAAACAAAUUUAAAACGAUUGCAAAAGACUUUUGAAAGACUAUAAGAACUCUCUUGACUUGACGCUUAGCUCUACCUUGAAUUUGAAUUAUGGAUUCAAGGGUUAUGAUCUCAUGUUAUAGAUGAUCUCUUGAUGUUUAAAUGUACCUUAAAGUGUAGAAAACAACUAGAAAACAUAGGUACGAUUCGAGAAAACUCAAACUGAAAGAAGAGGAAAAGGGUAGAAGAUCUGGUGACCCUGAUGUAUUGAGUGACGCAGGGCGCCAGAGCCCUAACCACAAAAGCUGGCUUGGGGCAUAUUGAGUGGCCAGCGCCCGAGAGGCCAAACUUCAGACACUCCACUCUGGCGCAUUGAGUGGCGCGGUGCGCCAACGCCCUGCCUAGAAAACCCACUAAUUUUUUUGUUUUUUUUCGACUCUAAAUCGUCUAGAUUCGAUUGGUUUCUUUCCCAAACACUUAGAUUCGAAUACCCAACUAAAGUAUACAAGAAUCCACUAAAAAACAACCUUAAAUCUCAUCAAAUCAUCUCAAGAACUCCACCAAAACCCAAAAAUCAAGAUUCAAACGAAAUUUCAACAAAAUUCAUCAAGAACUCGUAUACUCUUCUUUCAAGAACGUAAAUACGCUGAAUUUAAUCAUGAUUGGCGCAUGGGUGAAUGAACCCAAUGCUAUGUGAUCUCACAUAUCUCGUAGGGAUUAACCCUUGGCGAAAUCCGCACGCAAAACUCAAGAACACGACGAACCUUGACUUUUCUCCUCUUUUCUUUUCUCUCAAAGCCCUAGUGUAAUUUUGUAAUGCGUAAACUGAACCAAAUAAAUUUAUACCCCAAUUAAAUUACUAAAAAUGAAAUAAACUAAUUGGAUAGGGAAAAGACCAAAAUACCCCUCUUAAAUUCGAGUGACUUUUCUUAUCCAGACAAUCUGACUUCAAAUGGGCAUAUCUCCCUCAAUGACCUUGAAAAUUAGCAAACUCGGGUGCGUUGGAAAGAUAAUUCAAAGACCUUUCAUUUUAUAUCUUAUGGCACACCUAAAUCAUCUUGUACUGAAAGUUAUGGUUGUUUUAAGUUGACCCAAAUCUUAGAAGAACCUAGGAAUGACUUGAAUGAAUUCUCUUUAAUUCUUCUUGGAACUCAAGGUGCUAUAUCUAGUGACUUGACCUUAAUACUUAAGACAUUUCAAAUUCCUUGGUAAAAUCCUACUCACAACGAAAAUGGUUCGAGUCUUAGUUCAAAAAUUUUCUGGGGUGUUACAGCUGACACCCAAGAGAACUCUUAUCCUGGCUAACUAUAAGCAAAAAACAUUUCAAGCAUACACAAACAUCAAACUGAAAGAAAUGCUAAAUCAACAGUGUAUUAAAUCUCAAAACUCUCCAAAUAUACUGAGUACUAAACAUAAGUUUUGAAGAAAAUCUCAAAAACUGAAAGACUCUCCAAUAAUUAUCUAUCUAUGAAGCCUAUUCUGUAUAAAGAUGAGUGUCGGGACAAAACCCACAACACCUCAAAAUGCUACUACUAACCAUUCAUAAAAUUUUGAGUUAUCCGAAAGUAAGGAGGCUUCACCAAAAUCUAAUGAGCAUAUGAUGUGACUGAACGGAACUCCUAUUAAUGAUCCUAAGUAUCUAAAUCUGCAUCAUGAAAAGAUGCAAGUUGAAUUACACCAGUACAUUGAAAGUACAGUAUGUAAUAGGGCUGAAUUAAGCAAAUAACUGAACUGAAAAACCGAAGGUAACUCAAUUGAAGAAUAAUGUUAUGAAAAUCAUUUAAACUCUUUCUAUAGGGAUGCAAUAAUAGUAAUUACUAAACUGAAGGACUGGAAGUACUGAAUUGAAGUAUAGUAUAAAUCAUGAUGAAAAUCAUUUAAGCUCUAAUUGUAAACAUGCUACAAUAGUUAAUAUUGAACUGAAAUAUAUAAAUAAAAAUAUACUUUACUUUAUUGGGGAGUUUCUCUAACUGACUACCAUCACUAUGAGCCUCAUGAUGACACAACGUCUUACCCACAUUUCUAGAGUCGUCCUAUAUCUUGCCAGCGUAUAGGGCGCAACUGAAUUGUUAGAUCCACUAAAAAUCCUUCUUGAGGCAAGUGAGGAGUCACCUGUCUUGAGGUAUGAUCCUAUCUACGCUGGCGACGUAGGUUAUGGAGUUUGAGUUAUCGUAACUCUUACCCCAAAUCGGUACUCAAUACUACUCCCAAAAUAUAACUGGAUGCUCAUGUAUAAGUACUCAUUGGGUUGAGAUAAUUUCUCUAAAGGUGUCUUUAAGAGGUAACUGAAGUUGUACUGAAUCUGUCCUAAAUACUCUGAAAAAUCUUUAUACUUUUCUGAAAAUAGUACUGUCUUUUAAAAUGUGAAAAAUAAUACUUUGUUUAAGGGGUAACUGAACUUCUUUUUAUCUGACUGAAAUGCUUUUGAAAACUGUUUAUGCUCUUCUUAAAAUAAUACUCUCUUGUUUAAAAAAGAAUGACCUAGUUUGAUUUUGCACGGAGUUUAAGAAAAGAAAAAAAACUUUUUAAUCUCAUGGUUUUAAAUCAAAGUUAUGUCAAAUGUACCAAAAUGCCCUUUUAUCUUGUGGCCUUAAACAUGCCACAUGGAAAGUUGAAGUUAAAGUGUUACCCAAAAAGGAAAAGGGUCAUUCUUUUUUAAACGGACAAAAAAGGAAAUUGGAUCAUUCUUUUUUAAACGGGGGAAGUAGUUUUUUCCUCAAUGUGAAAAUAGUAAUUUUGGAACCAUUUGUGUUUCCUUAACUCUUCUCAAAUGAUACUUUAAAAUACUCUUAAACUAACUUUAAAAUUCCAAAGUCAAUGCAUGGAAACAAAUGCACAAAUGCUUUCAACAAAAUAUCAUCAACUAGAUUCAUGUGAAAUAAAAGCAUGAACGACAACCCAAUAAUCUCAUAAUUAGGAAAUCAGAACUCGGAAUAAGAAUACAAUUCGAAUUUAGAAUUUCAUGGAUCUUUGAGUAGAAUAUUGGAUUUAACUCUUACUGACUGAAUUUAGAUGUAGGCAUGAGGACAAACUAGUCCAACACUAUGAAUAGCCUUACAUACCUGAUUAUGAAGCUAUUAGACUGUAAAAUUUUGUGGAGACUUGAUUUUAUCUUGAGCUUGAGGAAGAUCGUUAGCUUUUGGAGGAAACCUUUGAUCAUGGAAUCUUGGUGCUUGCUCUUGAUAGAAGAAACUCUUUUUAUUAAGUUUUUAGAGUGGAAGAACAUGUAAAAACCUUGGGUUGAAAGAUUCUCUUAGUAUCUUUAAUUUUUGACUUGAAAGUUUUAGGGUUCUUGAUGGAGAAGAGGAAUCAUAAGUAAGUUUUAAGAGGAUUUCUAAAUACUUGAAUCUUUACAUUAAUGAUUUUGAGAUGAAA